GUGGGGAAUAUUGGACAAUGGGCGCAAGCCUGAUCCAGCCAUGCCGCGUGAGUGAUGAAGGCCUUAGGGUUGUAAAGCUCUUUCAGUGGGGACGAUAAUGACGGUACCCACAGAAGAAGCCUCGGCUAACUUCAUGCCAGCAGCCGCGGUAAUACGAAGGGGGCUAGCGUUGUUCGGAUUUACUGGGCGUAAAGCGCACGUAGGCGGAUCGUUAAGUCGGGGGUGAAAUCCUGGGGCUCAACUCCAGAACUGCCUUCGAUACUGGCGAUCUUGAGUCCGGAAGAGGUGAGUGGAACUCCUAGUGUAGAGGUGGAAUUCGUAGAUAUUAGGAAGAACACCAGUGGCGAAGGCGGCUCACUGGUCCGGUACUGACGCUGAGGUGCGAAAGCGUGGGGAGCAAACAGGAUUAGAUACCCUUGUAGUCC
Molecule: ribosomal RNA, 425 nt
Filed under: uncultured bacterium
Lineage: Bacteria
Description: partial 16S ribosomal RNA
Rfam family: Bacterial small subunit ribosomal RNA
Source: RNAcentral